RNAcentral lists this ribosomal RNA (325 nucleotides) under uncultured bacterium. Its description in RNAcentral is "bacterial SSU rRNA". It matches the Rfam family "Bacterial small subunit ribosomal RNA", at positions 31 to 358 of the family's 1533-position model. The record is from RNAcentral.
GAACGCUGGCUCCAUGCCUAACACAUGCAAGUCGAACGGUAACGCGGGGGCAACCCUGGCGACGAGUGCCCGACGGGUGAGUAAUACGUAGGAAUCUGCCCAUUUGUGGGGGAUAACCCGGCGAAAGCCGGGCUAAUACCGCAUACGCUCUACGGAGGAAAGCAGGGGAUCGCAAGACCUUGCGCUAAUGGAUGAGCCUACGUCGGAUUAGCUAGUUGGUAGGGUAACGGCCUACCAAGGCGACGAUCCGUAGCUGGUCUGAGAGGACGAUCAGCCACACUGGGACUGAGACACGGCCCAGACUCCUACGGGAGGCAGCAGUGGG